AACGAACGCUGGCGGCAUGCCUAACACAUGCAAGUCGAACGAGACCUUCGGGUCUAGUGGCGCACGGGUGCGUAACGCGUGGGAACCUGCCCUUAGGUUCGGAAUAACUCCCCGAAAGGGGUGCUAAUACCGGAUAAUGUCUUCGGACCAAAGAUUUAUCGCCUUUGGAUGGGCCCGCGUUGGAUUAGCUAGUUGGUAGGGUAAAAGCCUACCAAGGCGACGAUCCAUAGCUGGUCUGAGAGGAUGAUCAGCCACACUGGGACUGAGACACGGCCCAGACUCCUACGGGGGGCAGCAGUGGGUAAUAUUGGACACUGGGCGAAAGCCGGAUCCAGCAAUGCCGCGUGAGUGAUGAAGGCCUUAGGGUUGUAAAGCUCUUUUACCCGGGAUGAUAAUGACAGUACCGGAAGAAUAAGCUCCGGCUAACUCCGUG
RNAcentral lists this ribosomal RNA (433 nucleotides) under uncultured bacterium. RNAcentral's name for it is "partial 16S ribosomal RNA". It matches the Rfam family "Bacterial small subunit ribosomal RNA", at positions 29 to 507 of the family's 1533-position model. The record is from RNAcentral.